AAAAUCUUAAGUUAAUUGAGACUGUAGUAUUUCAAAUAUUAAAGUAAAUAAAUUUUUAGGUUUUG
Molecule: transfer RNA, 65 nt
Filed under: Euglesa coreana
Lineage: Eukaryota; Metazoa; Mollusca; Bivalvia; Venerida; Sphaeriidae
Description: tRNA-Trp
Source: RNAcentral